UCAUCCUCCCUCCUUCGCACCUGAUUCCACCAGGGCUGGGACCAACCAUUCUUCAGAUCCAUACGAUUUCACUUCAGACAUGAUUCUCAUGUCAUGCAUGCUCGGCAUUAUGAAAAGGUAUUCUAUGCUUAAGAUCAUCAGGUUUCCAACUGUACAUUCUUUCAAAUCCUUACAAAAAAUGAUGCAGAGAAAUGGACAACAGCAGAAAUGACAGUACUGCGUUGGCAUGUCACAGGUGCUCCCUAGACGUUAACUCACUCAAUUACCCCUACAGUCCCGUGAGCUAGGAACCCCAGUUUAUAGACAUGGACACAGAGGCUUAUAGGUGGCAGGACUUGUCCCCUUCAUGCAGCUCGUCGAAGGUGGAGCCAGGGAGAUUUGGAUCGGGGGUCCAGCCUCCGUGCAUGCAAGGUCACUGCUGAGCGCUGUGCACCUCUGUUGCUAUGUCUUGUGGCUGAACUUUUGGUUUCAUGCACUGACAGGCCCUUCUCAUGGAAUCCAUCCAGACAGCUUUGCUCCUGAUCCUAGGACCCUCCUUGAUUAAAUUCCCUUCACAAACAGAUUUUUCUCUUGUAGGAGGAAAUCCAAAUAAAUACAUGUUUUCAGUGCUCGUUACAAACUCUGUGGACAAAUUCUACACGGAAGAAGAUCCAAAAAGCCACUGGUCAGGGAUGAUUAGUCCCAAAUAUCCAAAAUCUGUCCUUGAAAGUGAGACUUAUCUUUUACCAGAUGAUACCUGUACCUCUCACCUACAAUAAUUCUCUUCCAAGAGCAACAAAUAUGCAGCUGGACACAUGUGGCAAGAUCUGUCCUUCUAAAUCACUCUUCCUGGAGUUAAAGAAAACAUUGUCUGGACAUUGUUGUGAUAAACUCCUGACCUCGGGUGAUCUGCCUGACUCGGCCUCCCAAACUGCUGAGAUUACAGGCGUGAGCCACCACGCCUGGUCACAUUCCACUUCUUGAAAAGCACGAAUUAUUUUUUACUGUGUCAGAAAAAGCUAUCUCAGUUUUAAAUGCAGGUAAGGGCUGGCACCAGAGCCCCCAUCCUGUCCAGCUGUGACCCGGCCUUGCAUCUUCCCCUUCUCCCUGCCUCCAAAAUAGAAAGGCAGGCAUAGAAAUAAUAUGUCCAUUUCUAUAAAAAGAUUUUCCAUGAGCUCCUUUUUAUGAUUCAUGAUUUGAAUAGGAAGAAAUCACAGUGGCAAAAGGGAGGGAGAUCUGACUUGGGAAACCUGAGAUUAGAUGCAACGAGGGCACUAUUACCCUUGACCUCAGUAUUGCACUGGGAGUGCAAGCUGACCUUGCACAAGAAAAACUGCCAAAGUCCCUGAGGAUGAAUCAUUGCUCCCUGCGGGUAAGAUCAUCCUGCAGCUGCCCAGGUACCCUGAGAGCAAGAUAAAAGGAAAGACUCACUUCCCAAAACAACGAUAUCAAAUAGUCAGAAAUGCAGUGGCUGCAGUCAGUGGCUCCCUGGGCAACACCUCAUGCCCUUCCAACAGGAACAGGACACUGGCGAGGUUGCAGAGAAAAGGGAACAUUUAUACACUGUGGGUGAGAGUGUAAAUUAGUUCAACCAUUGUGGAAAGCAGUAUAGUGAUUCCUCCAAGAGCUAAAAACAGAACUACCAUUUGACCCAGCAAUCCCAUUACUGGGAAUACACCCAGAGGAAUACAAAUCAUUCUACCAUAAAGACACAUGUACGUGAAUGUUCAUUGCAGCACUCUUCACAAUACCGACAACAUGGAAUCAACCUAAAUGCCCAGCGAUGACAGAUUGGAUAAAGAAGAUGUGGUACAUAUACAUCAUGAAAUACUAUGCAGCUACAAAAAAAGAAUGAGAUCAUGUCUUUUGUGGGAACAUGGAUGGAGCUGGAGGCCAUUAUCCUUAGCAAACUAAUGCAGGAACAGAAAGCCAAAUACUGCAUGUUCUCACUUGUAAGUGAGGGCUAAAUGAGGGAACACAUGAACACAAAGAGGUGAACAACAGACACUGGGGUCUAGGAGGAGAGAGAGGAGCAGAAAAGAUAACACUUGGGUACUAGGCUUAAUACCUGGGUGAUGAAAUAAUAUGUACAACAAACCCCUAUGACAACAGUUUACCUAUAUAACAAACCUGCACAUGUACCCCAAACCUAAAAUAAAAGUUUAAAAAAAGGCAUCUCCAUGCCCGACACACUGCAUUUUUCUAGGAUGAAUACGCAGUGUGCAUAAGCAGCAAGUGACGGGCCCUCCUCUUAUGACCAUUCCUAUAAAAUCAUGUUAGAAUGAUCCUGGAGGGAAAAAGCCUACCACAGGAAUAGCUGGUGUGGAGAAACGACCAUAGGGCAUUAAAAACACAGACAAUUUUCUUCAGGAAUAAAUGGCAAUAUUCCAUUUGCUAAAAGUGGAAAGUUUUCUCUGUUGUUAAACAGCUACACUGGGCUGUGUGCAAUCACUCAUGCCUGUAAUCCCAGCACUUUGAGAGGCCAAGACAGGUGGAUCACCUGAGGUCGGGAGCUGGAGACCAGUCUGGCCAACAUGGUGAAACCCUGUCUCUACUAAAAAUACAAAAAAAAAAAAAAAAAAAAAAUUAGCCGGGCGUGUUGGCACAUGCCUGUAAUCCCAGCUACUCGGGAGGCUAAGGCAGGAGAAUCAUUUCAACCCAGGAAAUGGAGGUUGCAGUGAGCUGAGAUGGCACCACUGCACACCAGCCUGGGUGACAGAGCGAAACUCCGUCUCAAAAAAAAAAAAAAAUAGGUACAGUGGUUGGCUAUGUAACUCUGAGCAAGGGUUCACAGGCUCUAAGAAAACUUGGUUCAAUUUGCAGUCUUCAAAAGAUAGGAGAGUGAAAUCCCAGAAUCAGACCUUCUGAUGCAAAUAAAAUAUUGCCGCCUGGUUUAUGAUUACAGUAAUUUUGUACUAUUGCAUAUACACAGUCCUGACAACUGUAAGCAAGGAAAAGAUCAUCUUUCAAGAAUUCAUUCUUGGAUAUUUCUGUGUUUACAGAAUAAUUCUCUUCCAAGAGCAAUAAAUAUGCAGCUGGACACAUGUGGCAAGAUCUGUCCUUCUAAAUCACUCUUCCUGGAGUUAAAGAAAACAUUGUCUGGACAUUCUUGUGAUAACAUCACAAGAUGAGGCUCUUGAGCACUUGAAUUAUUAUUCUGAAACCCAACAUAUAAAUAUCCUUUGUAAUGCAGCCAUCUCGGGUUGGAGCAGCCAUGCUGGCACAAGAUUCAAUGCUUUCCUGUAAUUGUUCAGUUAUUGGCCUUGAAAGUGGCUGUCAUUUAUUUCAUCACAAUUGAGAGCUGUUUUUCCAACAUAUAUAUUUUUCCGAUAAAGGGUGCGAUUUAGCUGUGGGACAAGAGGCUCACUGCCCAUUCUGUGCCCACAAACAUAAGAAUAAUAAUUUGGGAAUUUGAAAUAAGAACCAAGAAAGGACAGAGAACUAUAAAUCGUGGAAUUGUAAAACCUGGAAACAAAUCCCCAGAUUAUCUAUGACAACUUCCUCAUUCUAUGGAUGGAAAAACUGAAGCCCAGGCAUAUUUAUGAAAAAGAGGGUCC
This is a long non-coding RNA of Symphalangus syndactylus (siamang), 3536 nucleotides long. RefSeq lists it as uncharacterized. The record is from RefSeq and is a predicted model, not a curated record. NCBI's taxonomy places the organism in Eukaryota, Metazoa, Chordata, Mammalia, Primates, Hylobatidae.